RNAcentral lists this long non-coding RNA (705 nucleotides) under Rattus norvegicus (Norway rat). Its description in RNAcentral is "long non-coding RNA NONRATT015438". The record is from RNAcentral. Lineage: Eukaryota; Metazoa; Chordata; Mammalia; Rodentia; Muridae.
AAAAGUAAAAUAAAGGCUGGAGAGAUGGCUCAGCGGUUAAGAGCAAUGACUGCUCUUCUGGAGGUCCUGAGUUCAAUUCCCAGCAACCGCAUGGUGGCUCACAACCAUCUGUAAUGGGAUCAGAUGCCUUCUUCUGGUGUUUCUGAAGAUAGCUACAGUGUACUCUACAUAAAAUAGAUAAAAAGAAUUCUUAAAAAAAUAAGAUAAAAAUAAAUAAAUAAAAUAAGAUACAGCGCUUUAGCCCUGGAUCAGACUCAGUGAGAAGGUUUGGAUCAGGGUUGUUCUGUGAUUUUGUAACAUCAACAGGUGGGGCCCUGCUCCUAGGAAACAACUGCAGUCUGCACAAAGUUCAUGACCCCCCCCACCUUCCCAGAGGCCUGCUGACCCCCAAAGUAGGAUCCGUCAGUGAGGCGAGUGUCCCGGGCGCCCCGUGCCAACACACUGAGCAGCCCAUGCUGGAUGAAGUACAUCUUCCUGCCCACGGAGCCCUCACGCACCACCAGAUCCCCAGGUUGGAAGACCUCAAAACGGAGCUUGGUAGCACCUCCAGAAGCCCAGGUCCUAGAAGAGCCCUUCCCACAAGGUCCAGCCCGGCCCCACCUCCCGAAGCGGCUCGCUCAGCUCCCCCAGGAUGCUCUCUUCAUCGAACAUCUUGCCCUGGUACCGAUGCUCGUAGUACUCGUGGAUGCGCUGCCGUGUGUCGGC